Molecule: small nucleolar RNA, 138 nt
Organism: Ornithorhynchus anatinus (platypus)
Lineage: Eukaryota; Metazoa; Chordata; Mammalia; Monotremata; Ornithorhynchidae
Source: RefSeq, a predicted model, not a curated record
CCCCCUUCAGGGUCGCACCUGGGGAGUUUCCAAUACUCUAUCAGUCUUGACUACGAGAGGGAGAGUCAAGCAGAGGCCUAUUCAUUCCAUUUCUAGCUUGGUCAGUGGUUAGCGAGUGGAAGGCCAUCUGCUACAAGU